This 441-nucleotide ribosomal RNA is filed under the name uncultured bacterium. Its description in RNAcentral is "partial 16S ribosomal RNA". It matches the Rfam family "Bacterial small subunit ribosomal RNA", at positions 338 to 795 of the family's 1533-position model. The record is from RNAcentral.
CCUACGGGGGGCAGCAGUGGGGGAUAUUGCACAAUGGGGGGAACCCUGAUGCAGCGACGCAGCGUGGGUGAAGGAGUGCUUCGGCAUGUAAAGCCCUAUCGGCAGGGAAGAAGAAAGACGGUACCUGACUAAGAAGCCCCGGCUAACUACGUGCCAGCAGCCGCGGUAAUACGUAGGGGGCGAGCGUUAUCCGGAUUCACUGGGUGUAAAGGGAGCGUAGACGGCCAUGGAAGCCAGGGGUGAAAGCCCGGGGCCCAACCCGGGGACUGCCCUUGGAACUGUGCGGCUAGAGUGCGGGAGGGGCAGGCGGAAUUCCUGGUGUAGCGGUGAAAUGCGUAGAUAUCAGGAGGAACACCGGCGGCGAAGGCGGCCUGCUGGACUGCGACUGACGUUGAGGCACGAAAGCGUGGGGAGCGAACAGGAUUAGAUACCCUUGUAGUC